RNAcentral lists this Y RNA (114 nucleotides) under Prolemur simus (greater bamboo lemur). RNAcentral describes it as "Y RNA (ENSPSMG00000008083.1)". It matches the Rfam family "Y RNA". Rfam says of the family: Y RNAs are components of the Ro ribonucleoprotein particle (Ro RNP), in association with Ro60 and La proteins. The record is from Rfam by way of RNAcentral. Lineage: Eukaryota; Metazoa; Chordata; Mammalia; Primates; Lemuridae.
GGCUGGUCCGAAGGUAGUGAGUUAUCUCACUUGAUUGUUCACAGUCAGUUACAGAUUGAACUUCUUGUUCUACUACUUUCCCCCCUCCUCACUACUGCACUUGACUAGUCUUAA